RNAcentral lists this ribosomal RNA (1495 nucleotides) under Lacticaseibacillus paracasei. RNAcentral describes it as "bacterial SSU rRNA". It matches the Rfam family "Bacterial small subunit ribosomal RNA". Lineage: Bacteria; Bacillati; Bacillota; Bacilli; Lactobacillales; Lactobacillaceae. The record is from RNAcentral.
GAUGAACGCUGGCGGCGUGCCUAAUACAUGCAAGUCGAACGAGUUCUUGUUGAUGAUCGGUGCUUGCACCAAGAUUCAACAUGGAACGAGUGGCGGACGGGUGAGUAACACGUGGGUAACCUGCCCUUAAGUGGGGGAUAACAUUUGGAAACAGAUGCUAAUACCGCAUAGAUCCAAGAACCGCAUGGUUCUUGGCUGAAAGAUGGCGUAAGCUAUCGCUUUUGGAUGGACCCGCGGCGUAUUAGCUAGUUGGUGAGGUAAUGGCUCACCAAGGCGAUGAUACGUAGCCGAACUGAGAGGUUGAUCGGCCACAUUGGGACUGAGACACGGCCCAAACUCCUACGGGAGGCAGCAGUAGGGAAUCUUCCACAAUGGACGCAAGUCUGAUGGAGCAACGCCGCGUGAGUGAAGAAGGCUUUCGGGUCGUAAAACUCUGUUGUUGGAGAAGAAUGGUCGGCAGAGUAACUGUUGUCGGCGUGACGGUAUCCAACCAGAAAGCCACGGCUAACUACGUGCCAGCAGCCGCGGUAAUACGUAGGUGGCAAGCGUUAUCCGGAUUUAUUGGGCGUAAAGCGAGCGCAGGCGGUUUUUUAAGUCUGAUGUGAAAGCCCUCGGCUUAACCGAGGAAGCGCAUCGGAAACUGGGAAACUUGAGUGCAGAAGAGGACAGUGGAACUCCUGGUGUAGCGGUGAAAUGCGUAAAUAUAUGGAAGAACACAAGUGGCGAAGGCGGCUGUCUGGUCUGUAACUGACGCUGAGGCUCGAAAGCAUGGGUAGCGAACAGGAUUAGAUACCCUGGUAGUCCAUGCCGUAAACGAUGAAUGCUAGGUGUUGGAGGGUUUCCGCCCUUCAGUGCCGCAGCUAACGCAUUAAGCAUUCCGCCUGGGGAGUACGACCGCAAGGUUGAAACUCAAAGGAAUUGACGGGGGCCCGCACAAGCGGUGGAGCAUGUGGUUUAAUUCGAAGCAACGCGAAGAACCUUACCAGGUCUUGACAUCUUUUGAUCACCUGAGAGAUCAGGUUUCCCCUUCGGGGGCAAAAUGACAGGUGGUGCAUGGUUGUCGUCAGCUCGUGUCGUGAGAUGUUGGGUUAAGUCCCGCAACGAGCGCAACCCUUAUGACUAGUUGCCAGCAUUUAGUUGGGCACUCUAGUAAGACUGCCGGUGACAAACCGGAGGAAGGUGGGGAUGACGUCAAAUCAUCAUGCCCCUUAUGACCUGGGCUACACACGUGCUACAAUGGAUGGUACAACGAGUUGCGAGACCGCGAGGUCAAGCUAAUCUCUUAAAGCCAUUCUCAGUUCGGACUGUAGGCUGCAACUCGCCUACACGAAGUCGGAAUCGCUAGUAAUCGCGGAUCAGCACGCCGCGGUGAAUACGUUCCCGGGCCUUGUACACACCGCCCGUCACACCAUGAGAGUUUGUAACACCCGAAGCCGGUGGCGUAACCCUUUUAGGGAGCGAGCCGUCUAAGGUGGGACAAAUGAUUAGGGUGAAG